GAUGAAGAACGCAGCGAAAUGCGAUAAGUAAUGCGAAUUGCAGAAUUUCCGUGAGUCAUCGAAUCUUUGAACGCACAUUGCGCCCACUGGUAUUCCGGUGGGCAUGCCUGUUCGAGCGUCAUUAUCCUCCCUCAAACCCCGGGCUUGGUGUUGGACCCAAGUUGUGUGAACAACUGGUCUCAAAGACAAUGACGGCGUCCGUGGGACCCUCGGUGCAACGAGCUUUUAGGAGCACGCAUCGAGUUGCAAGGACCUUCCGGGCCGGUCUCCUUUACCAUUUUACAAGGUUGACCUCGGAUCAGGUAGGAAUACCCGCUGAACUUAAGCAUAUCAAUAAGCGGAGGA
Molecule: unclassified non-coding RNA, 345 nt
Filed under: soil metagenome
Description: partial contains 5.8S ribosomal RNA, internal transcribed spacer 2, and large subunit ribosomal RNA
Rfam family: 5.8S ribosomal RNA (bases 1-121)
Source: RNAcentral